Molecule: ribosomal RNA, 473 nt
Filed under: uncultured Gammaproteobacteria bacterium
Lineage: Bacteria; Pseudomonadati; Pseudomonadota; Gammaproteobacteria
Description: bacterial SSU rRNA
Rfam family: Bacterial small subunit ribosomal RNA
Source: RNAcentral
AUUGAACGCUGGCGGCAUGCCUAACACAUGCAAGUCGAACGUGAAAGCUCUUCGGAGUGAGUAGAGUGGCGAACGGGUGCGUAAUGCUUGGGAAUCUGCCUAGUAGUGGGGGACAACCCGAGGAAACUCGGGCUAAUACCGCAUACGUCUUACGAGAGAAAGGGGGCUUCGGCUCCCGCUAUUAGAUGAGCCCAAGUCCGAUUAGCUUGUUGGUGGGGUAACGGCCUACCAAGGCUGCGAUCGGUAGCUGGUCUGAGAGGACGAUCAGCCACACUGGAACUGAGACACGGUCCAGACUCCUACGGGAGGCAGCAGUGGGGAAUAUUGGACAAUGGGCGAAAGCCUGAUCCAGCAAUGCCGCGUGUGUGAAGAAGGCCUUCGGGUUGUAAAGCACUUUCAGUAAGGAAGAAAAGCAGGCUGUUAAUACCAGUCUGUCAUGACAUUACUUACAGAAGAAGCACCGGCUAACUCCG